This 380-nucleotide ribosomal RNA is filed under the name uncultured organism. RNAcentral describes it as "partial 16S ribosomal RNA". It matches the Rfam family "Bacterial small subunit ribosomal RNA", at positions 527 to 896 of the family's 1533-position model. The record is from RNAcentral.
AGAGACCCCGAGCGUUAUCCGGAUUUAUUGGGCGUAAAGCGUGCGCAGAUGGUUUUUUAAGUCGGUGGUCAAAGCCCGAGGCUCAACUUCGGGACUGCCAUCGAAACUGAAAAACUAGAGGGCGGAAGAGGCUAGCGGAAUUGCCGGUGUAACGGUCAAAUGUGUUAAUAUCGGCAAGAACACCAGAGGCGAAGGCGGCUAGCUGGUACGUACCUGACAUUGUUGCACGAAAGCGUGGGGAGCGAAUGGGAUUAGAUACCCCAGUAGUCCACGCCGUAAACGAUGGAUAUUAGUCAUUGGCAGUAUCGACCCCCUGUCAGUGGCGUCAAAAAUAGCUAACGCAUUAAAUAUCCCCGCCUGGAAGUACGGCCGCAAGGCUA